AGGCUAAGCGCUGCAAUAACCACCGGGGUCCCCGUUUUCCAGAGACCCACUCAAGUGACAGCAGAUACUGAGGGGACAUGUUUGGCCACGGCCAGCUGCAUGGAAACCAGCAAGCACGAGUCUUGUUUCCCAGGGUUUUCCCCUGCAUUUCCAUUUUCUGCCCCUCAGCACCUCCACCGGGCUCAGCGGUGACUUGCCUCUUGGCAUCCGUCCCGCAUCAGUCGCCGCUUGCUCCCGCGGUGAUGCCGCCACAGCCCAUAAAGAGGAGGCAGCAGGCAUCACCAUGUGAGCUCGGUGGUGCACCACGCGGCCACCAGACCCCCUGGAGGAGAAGCUGUCACCCUGGUGGGCUCAGUCACCGCUCCUUUUCCUUUCCACCUUUACCAGGAAAAUCCACGUCCAAGGCUCAGCACCGAGCCCUCUCUCAUCCCGUUCCUGGAUGGAGGUCCACCUCCUAACCACCACCCUGGGGGGGGCAGGACAGUGGACACCCAUCGGGGACCCCCCCAACAAGGCGAUCCCCUGGCUGGCUGCUCGUUGGUGUGCUCCCAUGGGACAGCAUGCAAAGGUCGUGGAGCUGCUGCGCCAGGACCUGCAGCACUGGGACCUGCAGGCAGGCUCCCCGGUGGCGAGCCCCCCGUGGCUGACCAGAGGGGUGAGGACGACCUGGAGCAUGAGUGCUGGAGACUGGGGCAAGGGGCUUGGUGUCCUAUUUCUGUCCGUAACACUGCCAGCAGAUAAUUUCCAAGGGAACUCGGAGUGAGAGGAAAACAACAUUUCAUUUAAAAUACACCAGUCAAUAUUUUUGGGUGUUGAAUUUCACCUGGUGUAAAGCAAUCGCUCACUUC
Long non-coding RNA from Cygnus olor (mute swan), 848 nucleotides. RefSeq lists it as uncharacterized. The transcript has 3 exons. The record is from RefSeq and is a predicted model, not a curated record. NCBI's taxonomy places the organism in Eukaryota, Metazoa, Chordata, Aves, Anseriformes, Anatidae.